This 71-nucleotide transfer RNA is filed under the name Syrista sp. 1 GYN-2021c. RNAcentral's name for it is "tRNA-His". Lineage: Eukaryota; Metazoa; Arthropoda; Insecta; Hymenoptera; Cephidae. The record is from RNAcentral.
GCUUAAAUAGUUUAAUAUAAAUGUUAGUUUGUGGUACUGAAGAUGUAAAUUGUUUUGAUUUACUUUAAGCU